AUAAUCUGAGUUUAAUUCUACUUUUGCAACUUCGUUAACCGUUGGUUUGGCGAACAAAGAAUUAGAGAUGCCAGGAGAGAAGUAUAACCGAGCUCCGAUUGCUAGGGUUUGUUUGUUCACCAAACUAAACAUAAACUAAUCAAAUCUUGAAACAAAAUUUUCAAAUCUUAAAAUUACUAAACUUAAUAUGAUAGUAGUGGGCUUCCCGAACAGCGGUGGGGUUGGUUCACAGACGACGUUCGUUCGAUGUGAGCAACUACCGCGAUUUGGAGCAGCAGCGCUACCGCACCAUCCAGAUCUUAGAUGUGGAGAAGAUGAAGGUUGAAGUAGACGUUGGCUGGAGAAAACGAAGAAAGGACAAAAAAAGAGGAAAAAGGAAAAAGAAAAUGAGCACGGAGAAGAGAAAGAAAGACGGAGAAAAAUAAAAUAAAAAAUAUAUUUUUUUUUUCUAUUUUACCCUUGAGCCGUUUGAGUAAAUAGCUAAAAUUAGCGGAUUGUCAUCCAUAUGACUAUUUUUAAAAUAUGUAUCACUUUUUUUAAAUAUAUCAAAAUAUGUGCCACUUGAAGGUAAUUAACCUUAUUUUUUAGCAUUAGUUCGUGUUCUCCAUAGGUUUAUCAUGUCAGAAUUAAAUUUGACCGUUGUAAGGAAUCUCGACCAUUGGAAAUAUCCGACGCUCAAAAUUACAUAUCUCAUUAUUUCAAUACGAGGACAUCCACUCUUGAGAAUAAUUGUAGAUAUACAAUGUGAGAUUCUAAUAAGAGAUCUCGAUUCUUGCCCAUUAACUAAAGUGUGUGUGAGACUGAAAUUGGAGCCAUUAGAUUCAAUGGCUCAUUAAAGUCUGCAUGAUAGGCCCACCAAUUUUGAGACUCUAAAAUAAAAUAAAAAAACAAUGGGCUAUUGAAUUCAAAUCAAUGGCCUCAAUUGGGAAACUAACAAAUAUAUGUAGAGUUUUCUUCUAAUUAAUAAGACUCCUUGCCUUAAUAUAGUGUGCAUUAAGCACUAAGUUAAAAGAUAAAAAUAUACAUAUACGAAGGACUUUUUUAAAAGAUAGAAACACACAAAUUCUAAUAUAUGGUAAUAAAUUAAAAUAAAGACUAAACUAAAUAACAAGAAAAAUACCAAUUUUGAAUUCGUAUUAUUAUAUCUCUUUAGUCUAGUUCUCAUUAUUUAAUAAACUAAGAGCUUUUCAUUGGAAGAUGACUUUAAGACUAUGCUACCAGUUCAAUCUCUCUCAAUUGUUUUGGAUAUGUUGAUUGUACGUAAUUGUUUUCUUUAUAAUUCGCAUUUUUAAUGAGAUAAUAUAUCCAAACCAUUAUGGUUGUAGUUACAGUAAACAUCUUUAUAGUGAUAUUUUAUAUGGAAAUAAUUUUUUAUAUAGUUAGGGCCAAUUUGACCAGUCACGAAUAUGAAUAAACUCCAUAUUGUAAUAAUUUAUAAUUUUUCAUGAUCCAAUCUUAAGGAAUUUACCUCCACAUAGUUAUAAUUGUCUAUAUAAAAAAAAUGUUAUAUUACAUUAAAGAUUUAAGAUGGAACAAAAUAAUUUUUGUGAAAGAUAUUUGGGACAAUAAUUUAUGCAAUGUACAACAUUUAUGAAAUUUAUAUUAAGAAAAAACUUUAAAUAGAAUGCAAAUGUGUAAAUUUUAAUAUGACUUCAUAUUUCCAAUACUAUAUUGAUACAUUAUAC
This 1685-nucleotide long non-coding RNA is filed under the name Citrus x clementina. RNAcentral's name for it is "Citrus clementina (C. clementina) long non-coding RNA (CCLE_LNC003132)". Lineage: Eukaryota; Viridiplantae; Streptophyta; Magnoliopsida; Sapindales; Rutaceae. The record is from RNAcentral.